RNA transcript from Octodon degus (degu), 571 nucleotides. It is a transcript of the gene named ER lumen protein-retaining receptor 1 pseudogene, with no coding region annotated. Lineage: Eukaryota; Metazoa; Chordata; Mammalia; Rodentia; Octodontidae. The transcript has a single exon. The record is from RefSeq and is a predicted model, not a curated record.
UCCUUCACCACUGUCUGGAUGAUUUAUAGCAAGUUCAAAGCUCCCUAGGGUGGGAACCGUGACACGGUUCGAGUGGAAUUCCUUGUUUUUCCCACGGCCGUCCUUGCAUUCCUGGUCAACCAUGACUGCACCCCUCUCGAGAUCCUCUGGACCUUCCCCAUCUACCUGGAGUCCGUGGCCAUACUGUCGGAGCUGUUCAUGGUGAGCAAGACCAGCGAGGUAGAGACCAUCACCAGCUACUACCUGCGCUGGGCGUCUACCGCGCGCUCUAUCUCUUCAACUGGAUGUGGCGCUGCCACUUGGAAGGCUUCUUCGACCUCAUCGCCAUCGUGGCUGGGCUGGUCCAGACAGUCCUCUAUUGCGAUUUCUGCUACCUCUACAUCACCGAAGUCCUCAAGGGGAAGAAGCUGAGUUUGCCUGCAUAGCCCUGGUCCCGCUUCCCGCUCCUCCUUGGCGGCAGUGAAGGCAGUAAUAGAAGCAGAGGAAGGUGACACAAGUCAGCGCCUUCCAUCCAGGAGUGACUUUUUAAAGAACCCGCCUCUCCCCGCUCCCCAGGCCUGCUUCUGCCUGG